CCUACGGGGGGCUGCAGUGGGGAAUAUUGCACAAUGGGCGAAAGCCUGAUGAAGCGACGCCGCGUGAGCGAAGAAGGCCUUCGGGUCGUAAAGCUCUGUCCUAUGGGAAGAAAGAUGACGGUACCAUAGGAGGAAGCCCAGGCUAACUACGUGCCAGGAGCCGCGGUAAUACGUAGGGGGCGAGCGUUGUCCGGAAUGACUGGGCGUAAGGGGUACGUAGGCGGCUAGAUUAGUUAGAUGUGAAAGGCAUGGGCUUAACCUGUGUAAGCAGUUGGAACUGACUGGGUGGAGUCGAGGAGAGGGAAGUGGGAUUCAGGGUGUGGCGGUGAAGUGCGGAGAUAUGGGGGGGAGUCUCAGUGGCGAAGGCGGCUUUCUGGACUUGGGCUGGCGCUGGGGUACGAAAGCGUGGGGAGCGAAGAGGAGUAGAUGCCCUGGUAGUC
This 440-nucleotide ribosomal RNA is filed under the name uncultured bacterium. RNAcentral's name for it is "bacterial SSU rRNA". It matches the Rfam family "Bacterial small subunit ribosomal RNA", at positions 338 to 795 of the family's 1533-position model. The record is from RNAcentral.